Molecule: small RNA, 88 nt
Filed under: Echinops telfairi (small Madagascar hedgehog)
Lineage: Eukaryota; Metazoa; Chordata; Mammalia; Afrosoricida; Tenrecidae
Description: 7SK RNA (ENSETEG00000026122.1)
Source: RNAcentral
UUCCAUCAAGGGUAAAUGAGUAGCUGCAUUCCCCUCUAGAACUUCCAAAGAACUUUCAAAGUUCAAAAGAAAACAGAGGGAAGAGAGU